Non-coding RNA from Cyanistes caeruleus (blue tit), 942 nucleotides. The record is from RefSeq and is a predicted model, not a curated record. Lineage: Eukaryota; Metazoa; Chordata; Aves; Passeriformes; Paridae.
ACCUGAACCUUAGCACAACCUCCCUCAAACCAGAUGGGUGUCCACAGAUGAGCCAACAGGAGACAGUGGCUGAAAAGAGACAGUGCUGCAAUUGCCUUCUAAGAGAGAUGAGUUUUGGUGAUUUAUGUCAAAUGAAGCAACUCUUACAGUGUGUAAAUUGAUGGACCAAAGUCACAGCAUUUAAUUGUCAUCUGUCUGGCAUUGGAAAGAGAUUUCAGCUCUCCCUGCCUUUACUGGAAGUGUCACUCAAAGCUCUGAACUUGCUUGAACUCUGAUGAAAACUUGCCAUCUUCUGAAGCAUUUUCUCUGGACAAGUCUCCCACUAAGAGCAGAGCCACUUGAGCCUUGUGAGUGGAGCUCUUAACAUGACCUAAUGAAAAGCCAUCGAAGCUUAGAAUAGACCUUGGCUCCUGCGUCAUCAUGGUAAUUGGGCUGUGGCAGUCAUCAUGCUGCAGAACUCUUAGUGCAGUGCAAAUGUGAUUGCUGAAAGCUUUUGAAUCAGAAAUACUUUUGAGUUGCUUGGAAAUACUUGGUCUUAUAAUUCCUGUGCUCCAGGGGAUUUGAAACAGAGGUUUGUUCUGACUCCACCAAAGAACGAAAGACAUUCUGUGACAUUCUCCCCUGUAUCUGAGACCUGUGGAAGGAAAAAAUCUCAUGGCUUUGUGUUAUAUCAGUGUCCUAUACUGUGGAAGAGUAAGAGUUUUUAAUUUCUUUUUUCCUUUAAACGAGAUUGUCAAUUGCAACUUCAGACUAUCAAAUAUUAGAAUUUAUGAUAAAGCUAUAAAGGCAGCUCUACCAAGGCAGUUUUAAGUACACUAUAUACUAUAUACAUUAUCUAUCCUAUAUGUGUGGAUAUACUUGCCAUUGUAGUCAGUGGGAGUUUUAAUUUAAGACAAAAUAAACAUAGCUAUAUUUAAAAAAAAUAAAUAUUACAACUAGAAA